AGAGUUUGAUCCUGGCUCAGAGUGAACGCUGGCGGCGUGCUUAACACAUGCAAGUCGAACGAGAACGGAUUAUAGCUUGCUAUAAUUGUCAGCUAAGUGGCGCACGGGUGAGUAAUAUAUAGGUAACAUGCCCUUUACAAAGAAAUAACAGUUGGAAACGACUGCUAAUGUCUUAUAUGCCUUUAAUACAUAAGUAUGCAAGGGAAAGAUUUAUCGGUAAAGGAUUGGCCUGUACGGUAUCAGCUAGUUGGUGAGGUAAAAGCUCACCAAGGCAAUGACGCCUAACUGGUUUGAGAGGAUGAUCAGUCACACUGGAACUGAGACACGGUCCAGACUCCUACGGGAGGCAGCAGUGGGGAAUAUUGCACAAUGGGGGAAACCCUGAUGCAGCAACGCCGCGUGGAGGAUGACACAUUUCGGUGCGUAAACUCCUUUUAUAUAGGAAGAUAAUGACGGUACUAUAUGAAUAAGCGCCGGCUAACUCCGUGCCAGCAGCCGCGGUAAUACGGAGGGCGCAAGCGUUACUCGGAAUCACUGGGCGUAAAGAGCGUGUAGGC
Molecule: ribosomal RNA, 557 nt
Filed under: uncultured Campylobacterota bacterium
Lineage: Bacteria; Pseudomonadati; Campylobacterota
Description: bacterial SSU rRNA
Rfam family: Bacterial small subunit ribosomal RNA
Source: RNAcentral